AACGAACGCUGGUGGCAUGCUUAACACAUGCAAGUCGAACGAGUAAGGCUCCUAGCUUGCUAGGAGAUUCUGCUAGUGGCAGACGGGUGAGUAACACGUGGGAAUUUACCUAGUAGUGGGGAACAACAGUUGGAAACGACUGCUAAUACCGCAUACGCCCUACGGGGGAAAGGCUUCGGCCGCUAUUAGAUGAGCCCGCGCUAGAUUAGUUUGUUGGUGGGGUAAUGGCCUACCAAGACUACGAUCUAUAGCUGAUUUGAGAGGAUGAUCAGCCACACUGGGACUGAGACACGGCCCAGACUCCUACGGGAGGCAGCAGUGAGGAAUAUUGGACAAUGGGCGAAAGCCUGAUCCAGCAAUGCCACGUGAGUGAUUAAGGCCUUAGGGUUGUAAAACUCUUUCAACAGGGAAGAUAAUGACGGUACCUGUAGAAGAAGCCCCGGCUAACUCCG
RNAcentral lists this ribosomal RNA (452 nucleotides) under uncultured Rickettsiales bacterium. RNAcentral's name for it is "bacterial SSU rRNA". It matches the Rfam family "Bacterial small subunit ribosomal RNA", at positions 29 to 505 of the family's 1533-position model. Lineage: Bacteria; Pseudomonadati; Pseudomonadota; Alphaproteobacteria; Rickettsiales. The record is from RNAcentral.